Molecule: ribosomal RNA, 255 nt
Filed under: uncultured bacterium
Lineage: Bacteria
Description: partial 16S ribosomal RNA
Rfam family: Bacterial small subunit ribosomal RNA
Source: RNAcentral
AACGACCUACGGGGGGCAGCAGUGGGGAAUAUUGCACAAUGGGGGAAACCCUGAUGCAGCGACGCCGCGUGAGUGAAGAAGUAUUUCGGUAUGUAAAGCUCUAUCAGCAGGGAAGAAAAUGACUGUACCUGACUAAGAAGCCCCGGCUCACUACGUGCCAGCAGCCGCGGUAAUACGUAGGGGGCAAGCGUUAUCCGGAUUUACUGGGUGUAAAGGGAGCGUAGACGGCGCGGCAAGUCUGAAGUGAAAGGCAGG